CAGUCGCCGCGGGAAUACGAAGGGGGCUAGCGUUGCUCGGAAUGACUGGGCGUAAAGGGCGCGUAGGCGGAUGGCACAGUCAGAUGUGAAAUUCCCGGGCUUAACCUGGGGGCUGCAUUUGAUACGUGUUGUCUAGAGUGAGGAAGAGGGUUGUGGAAUUCCCAGUGUAGAGGUGAAAUUCGUAGAUAUUGGGAAGAACACCGGUGGCGAAGGCGGCAACCUGGUCCUUGACUGACGCUGAGGCGCGAAAGCGUGGGGAGCAAACAGGAUUAGAUACCCCCGUAGUCCCUGUCUCUUAUAC
This 301-nucleotide ribosomal RNA is filed under the name uncultured bacterium. Its description in RNAcentral is "partial 16S ribosomal RNA". It matches the Rfam family "Bacterial small subunit ribosomal RNA", at positions 509 to 807 of the family's 1533-position model. The record is from RNAcentral.